UACUCUGCUACAGAAGGGAUCUUGCGAGACUGACAGCACGACGAGAAAUAAGGGGGAUUACUCAUAACUCCUGGGGGGAGUGUUUGUUUGUUUGUUUGUUUGUUUGUUUGUUUGUUUGUUUGUUUGUUUGUUUGUUUGUUUGUUUGUUUCAGGGAUCACGUGGGCCUCUGGAUCAUAAGGAGUAGAUGCCGGGAACGCUCGGAGGUUCUACUGAGCACUUCGAUGAGACGACGACCACCAAUCGUCCCCGUGCCCCAAUCAACUCCAAAAGAGAAGAUUUUGUUUGCUGACGACUGGUUAUGGAGAUGUCGUUUACUACGGAACCCGUGGACGCUGACCGGGGCCUGGAAAGAGACUCUGAGGACGGUGAAGUGGACAUAAAGAUUUUGGAUGGACGGCAGGCCCUGGGCAGUGAUCCCGGCGCAAAUUCACUACUGAGCAUUCAGUGGACUGGACUUUGCAUCGACAGGCUCUUACAUAUGCAAGGGGGGCAACACUGAGAGCGCUUCAACGUUGCAGUAUGCUGUGAUAUUGCGUCAAUAUUAUAUCCUUCAUUACUUUAUCUGAUGACUACAUGCUGCUUUACUU
Syngnathus acus (greater pipefish) is the source of this 588-nucleotide long non-coding RNA. RefSeq lists it as uncharacterized. The transcript has 2 exons. Lineage: Eukaryota; Metazoa; Chordata; Actinopteri; Syngnathiformes; Syngnathidae. The record is from RefSeq and is a predicted model, not a curated record.